MicroRNA precursor from Nicotiana attenuata, 97 nucleotides. It matches the Rfam family "MIR6152 microRNA precursor family". Lineage: Eukaryota; Viridiplantae; Streptophyta; Magnoliopsida; Solanales; Solanaceae. The record is from Rfam.
UGGACAGAUUAUUGUAUUCGACUGUAUUCACGGCGUGAAACAGGGGAUUACACUGUUUUUAAAACGGAAAGUGAAUCAAUUAACAUAAUAGACUCCU